GUUCAACAAUGCCGUAAUCCUACAUUUUUAUAUGCAUGCAAGUAUCAUAAUAUAUUAUAUGCAUUAAAUAUCACUGCAACUGUGCCAACUUGUUAUUUAAGAGUUAUUUAAAAGAGAGCUAUAGAAAUUAUAAAUCUAUAUUAAGUAAUUAGAUAUUUGGCUACACAUUCUCACAAGAGAAUGUACAAUCCAAAAAUAUGUCAGAUAUUUUCUUAUUUGUAAUAAGUGCCGACUACAGUUAUAAUUUGAAGCCGUCCUGUCCUAGCCUUGGUCCUAACUUUUCAAAUUAGGC
RNAcentral lists this unclassified non-coding RNA (292 nucleotides) under Hevea brasiliensis (rubber tree). The record is from RNAcentral. Lineage: Eukaryota; Viridiplantae; Streptophyta; Magnoliopsida; Malpighiales; Euphorbiaceae.